AGUGAACGCUGGCGGUAGGCCUAACACAUGCAAGUCGAACGGCAGCACAGUAAGAGCUUGCUCUUACGGGUGGCGAGUGGCGGACGGGUGAGGAAUACAUCGGACUCUACUUUUUCGUGGGGGAUAACGUAGGGAAACUUACGCUAAUACCGCAUACGACCUACGGGUGAAAGCAGUGGAUCUUCGGACCUUGCGCGAUUGAAUGAGCCGAUGUCGGAUUAGCUAGUUUGCGGGUUAAAUGCCCACCAAGGCGACGAUCCGUAGCUGGUCUGAGAGGAUGAUCGCCGACACUGGAACGUAGACACGGUCCAGACUCCUACGGGAGGCAGCAGUGGGGAAUAGUGGACAAUGGGCGCAAGCCUGACCCAGCCACACCGAGUGUGUGAAGAAGGCCUUCGGGUCGUAAAGCCCUUUUUUGGGGAAAGAAAAGAAGCAGCCUAAUACCCCGCGGGACUGACGGUACCCAAUGAAGAAGCACCGGCUAACUACGUG
RNAcentral lists this ribosomal RNA (492 nucleotides) under uncultured bacterium. RNAcentral describes it as "partial 16S ribosomal RNA". It matches the Rfam family "Bacterial small subunit ribosomal RNA", at positions 29 to 507 of the family's 1533-position model. The record is from RNAcentral.